Non-coding RNA from Delphinapterus leucas (beluga whale), 2779 nucleotides. Lineage: Eukaryota; Metazoa; Chordata; Mammalia; Artiodactyla; Monodontidae. The record is from RefSeq and is a predicted model, not a curated record.
CUCCAGUGGGUGGACUUCUGUGGUCUAAGUGUUCUCCAGUUGGUCUGCAAAUAGUAGUUACACACAGGAACUCUAGAAGUUCCUGACAACCAUGAGUCAAAGAAGAUCAUCUGAGCGAUGUCAUGGAGGACGGCAGAGUAGGGCCCUCUGAGAAUCAGUACCUCCACUGAAGCUACCAAUAAGCUGGCAAAAUAACGGCAGAAUCAACGUCUUUGGAAUGCUGGAUUCAAAUCAGAUACUUACAGAAACCAGGGGAAAGAUGCUGGGAAAACUUGCUCCAGCCACUUCCAGGAGGCACGAAUCAAAAGCAUUUAAAGACUAUCCAUGCUAUCCAUGGGCAGAUGGGGCAAGCAGCAGACAGAACCAACAACCUAGAUGGGAGGAGGCUAUGGAGGAGGGUCCUUGGGGGAACAAGGGCUUCAGAGGGCUGCCUAGUGCAUUUGCACGCCAAACCCUGACGCGAGCUCAGAAGAGAACUGACAACACUGAGACUCACAGCACUCCUUGGGCUCCAAGGUGAAAGCUGGAGUGGAGUCGCAGGCAGCCCGGCUGAGCACUGAAGGAGCACCCCAAAACCAACCUGCAAAGUGCGGGAGGAGAUCUUUUUGGUGCUGGGUGUUUAAGGAAAUCUCGGUAACUAUAUAAAUAAAUCUUGGUAUGUUACUCCUCUUUUUGUUUAUAUGAUUUAAAAGACAAGUGCAUAAAACUAAUUAUAAAUCUAAUGUUAAUGGGGAUACAGUAUUCUAAGAUGUAACUUGUGAUGGCAACAAUAACAGCAUCAAGUGGGAGAGAGGACAGAGCUGUACAGGAGCAGGGUUUUUGCGAAGCUGUUGGAACCAGUAUCAAUUCAGGAUAUUAAUUAUAGUCAUCAGAAUAACCACUAAGAAAAAACUUAAAAACACAGAAAAGGAAACAAGGUGGGAAUUGAAAUGAUACAUUAGCAAAACCAAAUCAAACAAAAGGAAACAGUUUUGGAAGAAAUUGGGGGGAAAAGAUGAAACUCGUAGAAAACAAAUGGAAAUAAGAUAGAAAUAGGUACUCCCUAAUUUAGAAGUUGCUUUAUAUUUAAGCAGAUUAAAUUCACCAGAGGUACUGGCAACAUGGAUUAUAAAAGCAUAAGCCAAUUAUACACUAUCUACAAGCGACUCAUUUUAGAGCCAAAGUCACAAACAGAUUGAAAGUACGGAAACAUGUUUUCCAUGCAUUAAUAACCAGUAGAAAGCUGGCAUGAUAUGUAUAUAGCUGAUUCACUUUGUUAUACAGCAGAAACUAACAAACACACCAUUGUAAAGCAAUUAUACUCUAAUAAAGAUGUUUAAAAAAAUAAUAAAAUAAAAUGAAAACAAAACAAAAAAAGAAAGCUGGCAUGGCUACUAGUAUCAGGAAAUAGACUCUUAAGUCACAACUUGUUACAGGAGACCAAAAAGGGGCAUUAUAUACUGAUAAAGUCAAUCCAUCAAAAAGACAUCACAAUUAUAAAGAUACACACACCAAACAGCAGGGCCCACCCCCACCCAAAUACAGGAAGCAAAGCUUGACAACUGAAGGGAGAAACAGACCUACAUUAACAGCUGAAGACCUCAACACCCCAAUUUCAAUAAUGGGCACACAGAACAUCUAGACAGAAGAAUAAGGAAACAGAGGACCUGAACCCCACAUACCAGCCAGACCUAACAGACACGCACAGAACACUCCACCCACGACCACAGAGCACACUCCUCUCAGUGCGCUGGAACAUUCUCCAGGAUAGACACGUUAGGCCACCAAACAAGUCUCCAGAGAUUAAAAUCUUACGAAAUAUCUUCUCUAACCAAAUGCAAUAAAGCUAGAGAUCCAUAAAGAAGGAAAAGUGAAAGAUUCCAAAUAUGUGGAAAUUAAACAACGUAGUCUUAAGACAACCAAAUCAAAAAUGAAAUCACGAGGAAAAUUAGAAAACACUUUGAGACAAAGGAAAACAAAAACACAGCAUACCAAAAUUUAAGGAAUGUAGUAAAAACAAUGGUCAGACUUGUUGACAAAAAUUCAAUUAACAAUCAAAUGAAGAAAGAAAAAAGGGAAUUUUAUUCAAGCCAAACUGAGGAUUCUGAGAACUGUUCCACCUGUUUAGAAGUCCAAGGCACAGUCAGACAUUUUUGAGACGAAGGAUCGUGUAUAUAACAAUGACAUACUGGUAUUUUAUAGAAACGUCACCACAAUACAUAGUCCAGGUAAGCACGUACAAAGGAGCAGCAUGUCACCGUGACCCCAACAGAGCUGGGAAAGACUGCUAUUCUUUCAGGAAGUUACACUGCUAGCAUCAGAAGGAAAGGAAACAGUGAUCUUUGUGGUUGAGCGGCCGCUCCGCCUUUGAGGAGCUCUGGUUAAUGUGCAAUGCGACGCACACUGCACACUAGGGGGGCACGGAGGAGACCCGGACACACACACAAGAAGAAUUUUUAAAUCUUUCUUGUCCUGCCUUAAAAUAUAAAUUUCAUUUCACCACACUUUAGUGCCUACAUUAAAAAAGAAAGAUUGCAAAUGAGUAACCUAACGCUACGCCUUUAGGAACUAAGGAAAGGAAGAGCAAACUCAACGCCAGUAAACUGAGAAAAUAGUCAAGAUUAGAAGCACAGAUAAAACAGAGCACAGAAAAAGAGAUGCAACAAAACCAAACACUGGUGCCUUGAAGAGCUCAACAAAAUUGACACACCUCUUUCCAGACUGAUUGAGAAAAAAAAAGAAAAAAAAAAACUCAAAUAACUAAUAUCAAAAAUGAAAGUGGGGGGCUUCCCUGGUGGCG